Molecule: long non-coding RNA, 234 nt
Filed under: Elaeis guineensis (African oil palm)
Lineage: Eukaryota; Viridiplantae; Streptophyta; Magnoliopsida; Arecales; Arecaceae
Description: long non-coding RNA (EGUI_LNC046759)
Source: RNAcentral
UCCUCCCUAGACUCUUCCACUUGAGCCUUUCAAUUAGAUUUUACCCAGGACAAGCGAGUGCUACCUGGCUUCUACUAUCAAAACCCUUUUUUGGCUAGGUAUGUUUCCAAAGGCUCAUUUCACAUUGCUAUUUUUCUUGUUUUCUACUUUUAAAAACAUAAUCGCAAAAAUUGACACAAAAAUAUAUUUGGCGCUAUUGUUUUAUUUUAUAUUUUUCAAAAAAAAUAUUAAUUC